AGCAGCCGCGGUAAUUCCAGCUCCAAUAGCGUAUAUUAAAGUUGUUGCAGUUAAAAAGCUCGUAGUUGAACUUCAGGCCUGUCCAGAUGGUCCGCCUUAAUUGGUGUGUACUGUCCUUGGGUGGGUCCUACCUUCUGGCGAAGCGGCAUGGCCUUAGUUGGUUGUGUUGGGGAACCAGGACUUUUACUGUGAAAAAAUUAGAGUGUUCAAAGCAGGCAAAUAUGCUCGAAUACAUUAGCAUGGAAUAAUGGAAUAGGACGAUGGUUCUAUUUUGUUGGUUCUAGGACCGUUGUAAUGAUUAAUAGGGAUAGUUGGGGGCAUUAGUAUUCAAUUGUCAGAGGUGAAAUUCUUGGAUUUAUUGAAGACUAACUACUGCGAAAGCAUUUGCCAAGGAUGUUUUCAUUAAUCAAGAACGAAAGUUAGGGGAUCGAAGACGAUCAGAUACCGUCGUAGUCUUAACCAUAAACUAUGCCGACUAGGAAUCGGGCGAUGUUGACAAAAUGACUCGCUCGGCACCUCAUG
Molecule: ribosomal RNA, 522 nt
Filed under: uncultured Paraglomeraceae
Lineage: Eukaryota; Fungi; Glomeromycota; Glomeromycetes; Paraglomerales
Description: SSU rRNA
Rfam family: Eukaryotic small subunit ribosomal RNA
Source: RNAcentral